RNAcentral lists this ribosomal RNA (497 nucleotides) under uncultured bacterium. RNAcentral describes it as "partial 16S ribosomal RNA". It matches the Rfam family "Bacterial small subunit ribosomal RNA", at positions 28 to 507 of the family's 1533-position model. The record is from RNAcentral.
GAUGAACGCUGGCGGCGUGCCUAAUACAUGCAGGUCGAGCGAACGGACGAGAAGCUUGCUUCUCUGAUGUUAGCGGCGGACGGGUGAGUAACACGUGGAUAACCUACCUAUAAGACUGGGAUAACUUCGGGAAACCGGAGCUAAUACCGGAUAAUAUUUUGAACCGCAUGGUUCAAAAGUGAAAGACGGUCUUGCUGUCACUUAUAGAUGGAUCCGCGCUGCAUUAGCUAGUUGGUAAGGUAACGGCUUACCAAGGCAACGAUGCAUAGCCGACCUGAGAGGGUGAUCGGCCACACUGGAACUGAGACACGGUCCAGACUCCUACGGGAGGCAGCAGUAGGGAAUCUUCCGCAAUGGGCGAAAGCCUGACGGAGCAACGCCGUGUGAGUGAUGAAGGUCUUCGGAUCGUAAAACUCUGUUAUUAGGGAAGAACAUAUGUGUAAGUAACUGUGCACAUCUUGACGGUACCUAAUCAGAAAGCCACGGCUAACUACGUG